UGCAAGUCGAACGGCAGCGCGGGGCAACCUGGCGGCGAGUGGCGAACGGGUGAGUAAUAUAUCGGAACGUGCCCUGGAGUGGGGGAUAACGCAGCGAAAGUUGCGCUAAUACCGCAUACGAUCUAAGGAUGAAAGCGGGGGAUUCGCAAGAACCUCGUGCUCCUGGAGCGGCCGAUAUCUGAUUAGCUAGUUGGUGGGGUAAAGGCCUACCAAGGCAUCGAUCAGUAGCUGGUCUGAGAGGACGACCAGCCACACUGGAACUGAGACACGGUCCAGACUCCUACGGGAGGCAGCAGUGGGGAAUUUUGGACAGUGGGCGAAAGCCUGAUCCAGCAAUGCCGCGUGAGUGAAGAAGGCCUUCGGGUUGUAAAGCUCUUUUGUCAGGGAAGAAACGGUGAAGGCUAAUAUCCUUUGCUAAUGACGGUACCUGAAGAAUAAGCACCGGCUAACUACGUGCCAGCAGCCGCGGUAAUACGUAGGGUGCAAGCGUUAAUCGGAAUUACUGGGCGUAAAGCGUGCGCAGGCGGUUUUGUAAGUCUGUCGUGAAAUCCCCGGGCUCAACCUGGGAAUUGCGAUGGAGACUGCAAGGCUAGAAUCUGGCAGAGGGGGGUAGAAUUCCACGUGUAGCAGUGAAAUGCGUAGAGAUGUGGAGGAACACCGAUGGCGAAGGCAGCCCCCUGGGUCAAGAUUGACGCUCAUGCACGAAAGCGUGGGGAGCAAACAGGAUUAGAUACCCUGGUAGUCCACGCCCUAAACGAUGUCUACUAGUUGUCGGGUUUUAAUUAACUUGGUAACGCAGCUAACGCGUGAAGUAGACCGCCUGGGGGGUACGGUCGCAAGAUUAAAACUCAAAGGAAUUGACGGGGACCCGCACAAGCGGNGGAUGAUGUGGAUUAAUUCGAUGCAACGCGAAAAACNUUACCUACCCUUGAC
RNAcentral lists this ribosomal RNA (933 nucleotides) under uncultured bacterium. RNAcentral's name for it is "bacterial SSU rRNA". It matches the Rfam family "Bacterial small subunit ribosomal RNA", at positions 56 to 985 of the family's 1533-position model. The record is from RNAcentral.